This 257-nucleotide ribosomal RNA is filed under the name uncultured bacterium. Its description in RNAcentral is "partial 16S ribosomal RNA". It matches the Rfam family "Bacterial small subunit ribosomal RNA", at positions 524 to 776 of the family's 1533-position model. The record is from RNAcentral.
UACGUAGGUGGCAAGCGUUGUCCGGAAUUAUUUGGGCGUAAAGCGCGCGCAGGCGGUUUCCUUAAGUCUGAUGUGAAAGCCCCCGGCUCAACCGGGGGAGGGUCAUUGGAAACUGGGGAACUUGAGUGCAGGAGAGGAAAGCGGAAUUCCACGUGUAGCGGUGAAAUGCGUAGAUAUGUGGAGGAACACCAGUGGCGAAGGCGGCUUUUCUGGUCUGUAACUGACGCUGAGGCGCGGAAGCGUGGGGAGCAAACAGG